Molecule: ribosomal RNA, 394 nt
Filed under: uncultured bacterium
Lineage: Bacteria
Description: bacterial SSU rRNA
Rfam family: Bacterial small subunit ribosomal RNA
Source: RNAcentral
UGUGAGCAACCUGCCUUUCAGAGGGGGGACAACAGUUGGAAACGACUGCUAAUACCGCAUAAUGUAUUGGAAGGGCAUCCUUUUGAUACCAAAGGAGCAAUCCGCUGAAAGAUGGGCUCACAUCUGAUUAGCUAGUUGGUGGGGUAACGGCCUACCAAGGCUGCGAUCAGUAGCCGGACUGAGAGGUUGAACGGCCACAUUGGGACUGAGAUACGGCCCAGACUCCUACGGGGAGGCAGCAGGUGGGGAAUAUUGGGCAAUGGGCGAAAGCCUGAACCCCCAGCAACGCCGCGUGAAGGGAGAAGGUCUCGGAUUGUAAACUUCUUUUAUGAGGGACGAAGGACGUGACGGUACCUCAUGAAUAAGCCACGGCUAACUACGUGCCAGCCGCAGC